This 1372-nucleotide ribosomal RNA is filed under the name uncultured Streptococcus sp. RNAcentral's name for it is "bacterial SSU rRNA". It matches the Rfam family "Bacterial small subunit ribosomal RNA", at positions 27 to 1383 of the family's 1533-position model. The record is from RNAcentral. Lineage: Bacteria; Bacillati; Bacillota; Bacilli; Lactobacillales; Streptococcaceae.
GGACGAACGCUGGCGGCGUGCCUAAUACAUGCAAGUAGAACGCUGAAGAGAGGAGCUUGCUCUUCUUGGAUGAGUUGCGAACGGGUGAGUAACGCGUAGGUAACCUGCCUUGUAGCGGGGGAUAACUAUUGGAAACGAUAGCUAAUACCGCAUAACAAUGGAUGACACAUGUCAUUUAUUUGAAAGGGGCAAUUGCUCCACUACAAGAUGGACCUGCGUUGUAUUAGCUAGUAGGUGAGGUAAUGGCUCACCUAGGCGACGAUACAUAGCCGACCUGAGAGGGUGAUCGGCCACACUGGGACUGAGACACGGCCCAGACUCCUACGGGAGGCAGCAGUAGGGAAUCUUCGGCAAUGGGGGCAACCCUGACCGAGCAACGCCGCGUGAGUGAAGAAGGUUUUCGGAUCGUAAAGCUCUGUUGUAAGUCAAGAACGGGUGUGAGAGUGGAAAGUUCACACUGUGACGGUAGCUUACCAGAAAGGGACGGCUAACUACGUGCCAGCAGCCGCGGUAAUACGUAGGUCCCGAGCGUUGUCCGGAUUUAUUGGGCGUAAAGCGAGCGCAGGCGGUUUGAUAAGUCUGAAGUUAAAGGCUGUGGCUCAACCAUAGUUCGCUUUGGAAACUGUCAAACUUGAGUGCAGAAGGGGAGAGUGGAAUUCCAUGUGUAGCGGUGAAAUGCGUAGAUAUAUGGAGGAACACCGGUGGCGAAAGCGGCUCUCUGGUCUGUAACUGACGCUGAGGCUCGAAAGCGUGGGGAGCGAACAGGAUUAGAUACCCUGGUAGUCCACGCCGUAAACGAUGAGUGCUAGGUGUUGGAUCCUUUCCGGGAUUCAGUGCCGCAGCUAACGCAUUAAGCACUCCGCCUGGGGAGUACGACCGCAAGGUUGAAACUCAAAGGAAUUGACGGGGGCCCGCACAAGCGGUGGAGCAUGUGGUUUAAUUCGAAGCAACGCGAAGAACCUUACCAGGUCUUGACAUCCCGAUGCUAUUUCUAGAGAUAGAAAGUUACUUCGGUACAUCGGUGACAGGUGGUGCAUGGUUGUCGUCAGCUCGUGUCGUGAGAUGUUGGGUUAAGUCCCGCAACGAGCGCAACCCCUAUUGUUAGUUGCCAUCAUUCAGUUGGGCACUCUAGCGAGACUGCCGGUAAUAAACCGGAGGAAGGUGGGGAUGACGUCAAAUCAUCAUGCCCCUUAUGACCUGGGCUACACACGUGCUACAAUGGUUGGUACAACGAGUUGCGAGUCGGUGACGGCGAGCUAAUCUCUUAAAGCCAAUCUCAGUUCGGAUUGUAGGCUGCAACUCGCCUACAUGAAGUCGGAAUCGCUAGUAAUCGCGGAUCAGCACGCCGCGGUGAAUACGUUCCCGGGCCUUG